Molecule: ribosomal RNA, 253 nt
Filed under: uncultured bacterium
Lineage: Bacteria
Description: partial 16S ribosomal RNA
Rfam family: Bacterial small subunit ribosomal RNA
Source: RNAcentral
UACGUAGGGGGCAAGCGUUGUCCGGAUUUAUUGGGCGUAAAGAGCGUGUAGGCGGCCAGACAGGUCAGCUGUGAAAACUCGAGGCUCAACCUCGAGACGUCGGUUGAAACCGUCUGGCUAGAGUCCGGAAGAGGAGAGUGGAAUUCCCGGUGUAGCGGUGAAAUGCGCAGAUAUCGGGAAGAACACCCGUGGCGAAGGCGGCUCUCUGGGACGGUACUGACGUUGAGACGCGAAAGCGUGGGGAGCGAACAGG